Molecule: non-coding RNA, 65 nt
Organism: Cupriavidus sp. SK-3
Lineage: Bacteria; Pseudomonadati; Pseudomonadota; Betaproteobacteria; Burkholderiales; Burkholderiaceae
Source: Rfam
CUUGCCCGCGGUGACCAGCAAAUCAUGCUGAAGGCGGUGCAAGAAGCGUACCGGCAAAAUGCCGG